AACACAAUUUUAAAAAAGAAAUUAUUAACAUAACACAAUUUAAAAAAAAGGAAAUUAUCUAUGAGCCCUUUGAGUGUGUGUGUGUGUGUGUGUGUAUUUGACCAUCAUCCUUGUCAAAGCCUAUUGGCCAAACACUACCCGGAACAAAGCUGUAGUCAAAAAAGUUGGCUUUAGAGAGAGUGGGAAGUCCGGCUUGCGAGCUGGUACCUUUGUUUCGCACGCGACAAAAGAAUGAUUUAAAAAUGGGUGAUGUUGAGAAGAGCAAGAAGAUUUUUGUUCAGAAGUGUUCCUAGGGCCAUAUUGUGGAGAAGGGAGGCAAGAGCAAGACUGGGACAAAUCUCCAUGGGUUUAUUUGGGCGAAAGACAGGUCAGGCCCCUGGAUUUUCUUACACAGAUGCCAACAAGAACAAAGGCAUCACCUGGGGAGAGUAGAUACUGAUGAGUAUUUGGAGAAUCCCAAGAAGUACAUCCCUGGAGCAAAAAUGGUCUCCACUGGCAUUAAGAAGACAGGGGAAAGAGCAGACUUGAUAACUUAUCUCAAAAAAGCGACUAAGGAGUAAUAGUUGGCCAUUGCCUUAUUUAUUACAAAACAAAAAUGUCUCAUGACUUUUUUUUUAUGUGUACCACAUUUAAAUUGAUCUCAUAUACCAGAAUUCGGAUCAUGAAUGGCUGAUCGAAUAUUUCUUUUGGACAGUCCUGAUUUAAAUAAGAUUGGCUUGUGGUUAAAUGAAUAUGAUCAGCUUUUUGAACUUUGAUAGUAAGUCUGGUUCAGCAAGUGCUGCCACUGUUUUCCCCUCCUAAAAAUAUGAUUGGAAUUGACUAGUAAUGUUCAGCUUUUCACAGAGAUGGUAACUGCCAUCUCUAAACUUAGGGGAGACUGGUUUUGUAUUUAGAUUUAUAUAACUGGUUAUAUUGAUAUAUUUAAAGACUGAGGAAAUCCCUUCACUGUCUCAGAACAGCAAGACUCAGCUGUGUUUCAAGUUGUGUUCAUUAGCCUGUUAAAGGCAAGGGUUGAAGAUAAGCUCGUAGUGUCCACUUUAUCUUUUUGGUCUUAACCAUGCCAAUUUAAUUAAAAUUCCCUGCGU
Molecule: RNA transcript, 1085 nt
Organism: Mirounga angustirostris (Northern elephant seal)
Lineage: Eukaryota; Metazoa; Chordata; Mammalia; Carnivora; Phocidae
Gene name: cytochrome c-like
Exons: 1
Source: RefSeq, a predicted model, not a curated record